UAACGCGUGGGUAACCUGCCCUAUACACAUGGAUAACAUACUGAAAAGUUUACUAAUACAUGAUAAUAUAUAUUUACGGCAUCGUAGAUAUAUCAAAGUGUUAGCGGUAUAGGAUGGACCCGCGUCUGAUUAGCUAGUUGGUGAGAUAACUGCCCACCAAGGCGACGAUCAGUAGCCGACCUGAGAGGGUGAUCGGCCACAUUGGAACUGAGACACGGUCCAAACUCCUACGGGAGGCAGCAGCA
This 245-nucleotide ribosomal RNA is filed under the name uncultured Peptostreptococcus sp. RNAcentral describes it as "partial 16S ribosomal RNA". It matches the Rfam family "Bacterial small subunit ribosomal RNA", at positions 111 to 355 of the family's 1533-position model. The record is from RNAcentral. Lineage: Bacteria; Bacillati; Bacillota; Clostridia; Peptostreptococcales; Peptostreptococcaceae.